Molecule: long non-coding RNA, 312 nt
Organism: Caretta caretta (loggerhead turtle)
Lineage: Eukaryota; Metazoa; Chordata; Testudines; Cheloniidae
Source: RefSeq, a predicted model, not a curated record
GGACACCUAUGUAUGAAUAUACGCGGGUCCGUCUGUCUCCUUCUCGCUCCUCGUCCUGGGCUUGCUUUCAGCCGGGCUUGCAGGCUGACCUUAGCCGUUAUGAUGCCCCAGAUCUGACUAUUCCCUGCUAAUAACUUUUAUCUGGGAAAUAACAACAAAACAAUACAAUCAUAUCCUUGGGGAAAGAGACGGAUCUUUUUAAAUACUCUGUCUGAUUGCCUUGAUCAGACAGCCAGACUUUAAAACUGCUGGAGAAACCUGGGGAUGUAUUUUAUGGCCAACUAUGUCUUGUCAUGCAUAUCAAAUAAACCC